GUGGUGCAUGGCUGUCGUCAGCUCGUGCCGGUGUUGGGUUAAGUCUCGCAACGAGCGCAACCCUCGUGUUUAGUUGCCACUAUGAGUUUGAAACCUUGAACAGACCGCCGGUGUUAAGCCGGAGGAAGGAGAGGAUGAGGCCAAGUCAUCAUGCCC
RNAcentral lists this non-coding RNA (156 nucleotides) under Brachypodium distachyon (stiff brome). RNAcentral describes it as "rRNA SSU_rRNA_eukarya". It matches the Rfam family "Bacterial small subunit ribosomal RNA", at positions 1038 to 1200 of the family's 1533-position model. Lineage: Eukaryota; Viridiplantae; Streptophyta; Magnoliopsida; Poales; Poaceae. The record is from Rfam by way of RNAcentral.